CGGACGGGUGAGUAACACGUGGAUAACCUACUUAUAAGACUGGGAUAACUUCGGGAAACCGGAGCUAAUACCGGAUAAUAUAUUGAACCGCAUGGUUCAAUAGUGAAAGACGGUUUUGCUGUCACUUAUAGAUGGAUCCGCGCCGCAUUAGCUAGUUGGUAAGGUAACGGCUUACCAAGGCAACGAUGCGUAGCCGACCUGAGAGGGUGAUCGGCCACACUGGAACUGAGACACGGUCCAG
RNAcentral lists this ribosomal RNA (241 nucleotides) under uncultured Staphylococcus sp. RNAcentral describes it as "partial 16S ribosomal RNA". It matches the Rfam family "Bacterial small subunit ribosomal RNA", at positions 99 to 334 of the family's 1533-position model. The record is from RNAcentral. Lineage: Bacteria; Bacillati; Bacillota; Bacilli; Caryophanales; Staphylococcaceae.